UACGGAGGGUGCGAGCGUUGUCCGGAAUUAUUGGGCGUAAAGAGCUUGUAGGCGGUUUGUCGCGUCUGCUGUGAAAUCUCAAGGCUCAACCUUGAGCUUGCAGUGGGUACGGGCAGACUAGAGUGUGGUAGGGGAGACUGGAAUUCCUGGUGUAGCGGUGAAAUGCGCAGAUAUCAGGAGGAACACCGAUGGCGAAGGCAGGUCUCUGGGCCACUACUGACGCUGAGAAGCGAAAGCAUGGGGAGCGAACAGG
Molecule: ribosomal RNA, 253 nt
Filed under: uncultured bacterium
Lineage: Bacteria
Description: partial 16S ribosomal RNA
Rfam family: Bacterial small subunit ribosomal RNA
Source: RNAcentral